RNAcentral lists this ribosomal RNA (430 nucleotides) under uncultured bacterium. Its description in RNAcentral is "bacterial SSU rRNA". It matches the Rfam family "Bacterial small subunit ribosomal RNA", at positions 355 to 776 of the family's 1533-position model. The record is from RNAcentral.
UGGGGAAUAUUGGGCAAUGGCCGAAAGGCUGACCCAGCGACGCCGCGUGUGGGAGGAAGCCCUUCGGGGUGUAAACCACUGUCGGGGGGGACGAAAGCGCGGGCGGAAAAUACCCGCCCGCAGUGACGGUACCCCUAGAGGAAGCACCGGCUAACUCUGUGCCAGCAGCCGCGGUAAUACAGAGGGUGCGAGCGUUGUUCGGAAUCACUGGGCGUAAAGCGCGCGCAGGCGGGCGUGUAAGUCAGAAGUGAAAUUCCGGGGCUCAACCCCGGAGCUGCUCCUGAUACUGCAGGUCUGGAGACCGGUAGAGGCUGGUGGAAUUCCCGGUGUAGCGGUGGAAUGCGUAGAGAUCGGGAAGAACACCCGUGGCGAAGGCGGCCAGCUGGGCCGGUUCUGACGCUGAGGCGCGAAAGCGUGGGGAGCAAACAGG